GGAAUUGACGGGGGCCCGCACAAGCGGUGGAGCAUGUGGUUUAAUUCGAUGAUACGCGAGGAACCUUACCUGGGCUCAAAUGUAUGUUGACGUAUUCUGAAAGGGAUACUUCUUCGGACAAUAUACAAGGUGCUGCAUGGUUGUCGUCAGCUCGUGCCGUGAGGUGUCGGGUUAAGUCCCAUAACGAGCGCAACCCCUAUCAUUAGUUGCCAUCAGGUCAAGCUGGGGACUCUAAUGAAACUGCCUACGCAAGUAGUGAGGAAGGUGGGGAUGACGUCAAAUCAUCAUGCCCCUUAUGACCUGGGCUACAAACGUGAUACAAUGGCUGGAACAAAGGGAUGCGAAGCAGUGAUGUGGAGCGAAACCCAUAAAAACAGUCUCAGUUCGGAUUGAAGUCUGCAACUCGACUUCAUGAAGUCGGAAUCGCUAGUAAUCGCGGAUCAGAACGCCGCGGUGAAUACGUUCCCGGGCCUU
RNAcentral lists this ribosomal RNA (474 nucleotides) under uncultured Sphingobacteriales bacterium. Its description in RNAcentral is "bacterial SSU rRNA". It matches the Rfam family "Bacterial small subunit ribosomal RNA", at positions 906 to 1382 of the family's 1533-position model. The record is from RNAcentral. Lineage: Bacteria; Pseudomonadati; Bacteroidota; Sphingobacteriia; Sphingobacteriales.